UAAAAUGACUGGCAAGCAAACUCCAGGGGUC
Molecule: non-coding RNA, 31 nt
Filed under: Mus musculus (house mouse)
Lineage: Eukaryota; Metazoa; Chordata; Mammalia; Rodentia; Muridae
Source: RNAcentral